RNAcentral lists this ribosomal RNA (412 nucleotides) under uncultured bacterium. Its description in RNAcentral is "bacterial SSU rRNA". It matches the Rfam family "Bacterial small subunit ribosomal RNA", at positions 94 to 518 of the family's 1533-position model. The record is from RNAcentral.
AGUGGCGGACGGGUGGGUAACGCGUGGGCGAACCUGACCCUUGGAGGGGGACGAACAGCCGGAAACGGCUGCUAAUACCGCAUGAACCGGCAGGCCCGCAUGGGGGUGCCGGGAAAGGAGCGAUCCGCCCAGGGAUGGGCCCGCGUCUGAUUAGCCGGUUGGCGGGGUAACGGCCCACCAAAGCGAUGAUCAGUAGCCGGACUGAGAGGUUGAACGGCCACAUUGGGACUGAGACACGGCCCAAACUCCUACGGGAGGCAGCAGUGGGGAAUAUUGCACAAUGGAGGGGAACUCUGAUGCCAGCGACGCCGCGUGAGUGACGAAGUGUUUCGGCAUGUAAAGCUCUAUCAGCAGGGAAGAAGACGACGGUACCUGACUAAGAAGCCCCGGCUAACUACGUGCCAGCCGCCGC